UACGGAGGGCGCAAGCGUUGUUCGGAAUUACUGGGCGUAAAGCGCGUGUAGGCGGCCUGACAAGUCGAAUGUGAAAUCCCGGAGCUCAACUCCGGAACUGCAUACGAUACUGUUAGGCUCGAGUCUCGGAGAGGAUGGCGGAAUUUCCGGUGUAGAGGUGAAAUUCGUAGAUAUCGGAAGGAACACCAGUGGCGAAGGCGGCCGUCUGGACGAUGACUGACGCUGAGACGCGAAAGCGUGGGGAGCAAACAGG
This 253-nucleotide ribosomal RNA is filed under the name uncultured bacterium. RNAcentral's name for it is "partial 16S ribosomal RNA". It matches the Rfam family "Bacterial small subunit ribosomal RNA", at positions 524 to 776 of the family's 1533-position model. The record is from RNAcentral.